GGCAGCUGGAGAAAGCGCCCCUCCGGCGUCGGGAGAGCGACGGUCGAUUUCUCAAUUAGCGUUGAGCAUUUUUUUCAAACAAAACGAGAAGUUAUUCUAAAAGUGAGCGAUUGAAAACCACAGCAAUGCUGCAUGGAGCUGACAAUUUCACUCACAUUACAAUGGGGAGUAAGCUGUAACCAGGGAACUGGAAAAGCUUCAUUUCACGGUUCAAGGCUGCAUGAGAGAACAAGCGAAGGCUGCUACCCCACAGUCAGCGACUCUGAUCACUGAACUUUCCAACAUCCAGGAAGUUGCAAAUGAAGUUAGUGGAAAAUAGUCCAACUCGGGCUGCGUUCAGAGAAAUGUCGUCUCAUCAUUGAAUUACAUCACAUCAAGGUCGGCAGUUUCAACACACAACUGCUACAAGAAGAUAAAUUAGAAUCGUUUCAUACGACCGACUUCAGUAUCAAAGCCACAGGAUCGUUGGAUUUCUUAUCAUCUUUUAUUGGCAGAGCCUAUGCCUCAUACUCUGGUCUCCUUCGGUGUCGUUCAGUUCCUAAUGCAGCUCCAAUGCUGUAAUUACAGACGGCCUUAUUUCCGGAAAGGGUGGGAGACAGAGGGAGGGAGAAAUCGCUGUGGUAUCUUGUCCCCUAAGGCUAAGGUUUUCGGGUUUACAGCAAUAGCAUAUUACAAGGGUGAUAUUUUACACUAAAUAGAGGUUUCUAAUCAAACUAACUGUUUUAAUGGCUGUUGGAAGGCGGUCCACCUUAGGAAAACAAAAGGGAACACUGCUCAGUUUAUAGUCGUAUCUCUAAACAGGAUGUAACUCCUUUAAUUAUUUGUUUGUCAAUUGCAGUUUUCAUGACGUUUUGACUUUUCUGAGGGAUCAGCUGAAAGCAGCCGAGAUCUGCAAACCGCCGCCAGAAUUCAUAUCAAAUGUGCACAAUGUUUGGAAACAAAACUUUCAGAAUUGCAGAAAUGUCGCUGUAUUGAUGCUAGGAGCGGCUGAUCAAAACAUUUCUCGUUGUUUAACCACAGGAGAGUGAAAACCAGAUAAUCACUCAGCAAAAAAAAAUUCUCAAGAGAAACACACACAAUAUAUUAAAGCUUUCAGUUGCUGCUAGACAAUUUACCUAAUCACAAACACUAUGUAAUAAAGCAAAGUCAUAAUGGCU
Long non-coding RNA from Carcharodon carcharias (great white shark), 1157 nucleotides. RefSeq lists it as uncharacterized. The transcript has 2 exons. The record is from RefSeq and is a predicted model, not a curated record. Lineage: Eukaryota; Metazoa; Chordata; Chondrichthyes; Lamniformes; Lamnidae.